GACACCCCCAGCAAGUCAGGGCCCCUCCUGACCAGGGACCAAGGCUUCGGAGAAGACUCUGGAGAAGGCUCGGAGGAAACUGGGAAGCUGGUUCUUUGGCCCAAAGUGCUUUUACAGCCUACCUGUAUUUUACCGGCCCUCCUAGACGGGGGGAACUCCCCUGUCCUCUGCAGGAAUGUCAAAAGCCACCCAUCUUUAACCACCUAAUGCUCCCAUCAGCAGAGAGGCACACAGCACAGUGAACGUCGAGCAUGCACACCAGGAAGCCCAGGUUCGAGUUCUGACCGUCACUUACUGGUGGUAAUGAUGGUACUAGAUGUCAGAGUCAAGGGAGCUGAGGAAGGCAUCCAAGUAAGGAGGUGGCGUGGGCACUCCCUGACAAGGCUACACGAGUGCA
RNAcentral lists this long non-coding RNA (397 nucleotides) under Homo sapiens (human). RNAcentral describes it as "HSALNT0346759". The record is from RNAcentral. Lineage: Eukaryota; Metazoa; Chordata; Mammalia; Primates; Hominidae.